CGUGUAGGCGGGUCUUUAAGUCAGGGGUGAAAUGCCAAGGCUCAACCUUGGAACUGCCUUUGAUACUGGGGACCUUGAGUCCGGGAGAGGUGAGUGGAACUGCGAGUGUAGAGGUGAAAUUCGUAGAUAUUCGCAAGAACACCAGUGGCGAAGGCGGCUCACUGGCCCGGAACUGACGCUGAGACGCGAAAGCGUGGGGAGCAAACAGGAUUAGAUACCCUGGUAGUCCACGCCGUAAACGAUGGAUGCUAGCCGUUGGGGAGCUUGCUCUUCAGUGGCGCAGCCAACGCUUUAAGCAUCCCGCCUGGGGAGUACGGUCGCAAGAUUAAA
Molecule: ribosomal RNA, 330 nt
Filed under: uncultured bacterium
Lineage: Bacteria
Description: bacterial SSU rRNA
Rfam family: Bacterial small subunit ribosomal RNA
Source: RNAcentral